Long non-coding RNA from Dermochelys coriacea (leatherback sea turtle), 421 nucleotides. RefSeq lists it as uncharacterized. The transcript has 4 exons. Lineage: Eukaryota; Metazoa; Chordata; Testudines; Dermochelyidae. The record is from RefSeq and is a predicted model, not a curated record.
CUAAUGGAGGAGGGAAAAGGACAUAUGUUGCAGGUGCCUGGAGAGGAACUAUUGACUUCCCAGGUUGUUGGGACUAUGGAGCUGGAUUAUGCUGUGCAUGACUGGCUGACCACAGAGACUGGCAUGCUGAGUCACUGCUAGCCCAGGAGAUGCCUGAGAUGGGCUUUAUGUGCUGGGGACUGAUCUCAUGCCACUUUGACAGCAGUAAGGAAGACUGAUCCAAUGAUUGAGGCACUGGUCUGGGGUUCAGGUUCAAUUCCCUGCUCCACCACAGACUCAUGUGACCACUCAAGGAACCAGCAAAAAAUCACCUUCCAUUCAGAAAUUGGGCCCUUAGUGCAAGUUUCACUGCAAAUUGGUGGCAUGAAAUAGAUAUAUCCAAAAGCUUUGCAAAUAUGCAUGUAGACCCUUACAAAGAAAA